RNAcentral lists this ribosomal RNA (253 nucleotides) under uncultured bacterium. Its description in RNAcentral is "partial 16S ribosomal RNA". It matches the Rfam family "Bacterial small subunit ribosomal RNA", at positions 524 to 776 of the family's 1533-position model. The record is from RNAcentral.
UACGUAGGGUGCAAGCGUUGUCCGGAAUUAUUGGGCGUAAAGAGCUCGUAGGCGGUCUGUCACGUCGGCUGUGAAAACUCGGGGCUCAACCCCGAGCCUGCAGUCGAUACGGGCAGACUAGAGUCCGGCAGGGGAGACUGGAAUUCCUGGUGUAGCGGUGAAAUGCGCAGAUAUCAGGAGGAACACCGGUGGCGAAGGCGGGUCUCUGGGACGGUACUGACGCUGAGACGCGAAAGCGUGGGGAGCGAACAGG